AUGGGAAAAACAAUGAAGACACCCAUUGGAGCUUUAAUCACGUUCUUAUGGCUACAGCUGGACUGGGUCAGUCUUGGAAACGAGGUGGAGCAGAGUCCUUCUACCCUGAGUGUCCAGGAGGGAAACACUGCUUUUAUCACCUGCACUUAUACAGACACUGCUUCAGAGUAUUUCCCUCGGUAUAAGCAAGAACCUGGGAAAGGUCCCCAGCUCCUUGUAGCUAUUCGUUCAAAUAUGGGUGAAAAAAAAGACCAGAGGCUGACUGUUUUAUUGAAUAAGACCGCCAAACGUCUCUCCCUGCACAUCGCAACCAUCCAGCCUGGAGACUCAGCUGUCUGCUUCUGUGCAGCAAGGACACAGCGCUGCCCAGGCAGCUGCUACCUGUACUCAUACUUGUGA
Molecule: non-coding RNA, 399 nt
Organism: Dama dama (fallow deer)
Lineage: Eukaryota; Metazoa; Chordata; Mammalia; Artiodactyla; Cervidae
Source: the annotation of a RefSeq genome assembly